This 625-nucleotide ribosomal RNA is filed under the name uncultured fungus. RNAcentral's name for it is "eukaryotic LSU rRNA". It matches the Rfam family "Eukaryotic large subunit ribosomal RNA", at positions 24 to 664 of the family's 3401-position model. Lineage: Eukaryota; Fungi. The record is from RNAcentral.
CCCGCUGAACUUAAGCAUAUCAAUAAGCGGAGGAAAAGAAACCAACAGGGAUUGCCCCAGUAACGGCGAGUGAAGCGGCAAGAGCUCAAAUUUGAAAGCUGGCCCCCUCGGGGUCCGCAUUGUAAUUUGCAGAGGAUGCUUCGGGAGUGGCCCCCAUCUAAGUGCUCUGGAACGGGCCGUCAUAGAGGGUGAGAAUCCCGUAUGGGAUGGGGUGUCCGCGACCAUGUGAAGCUCCUUCAACGAGUCGAGUUGUUUGGGAAUGCAGCUCUAAAUGGGUGGUAAAUUUCAUCUAGAGCUAAAUAUUGGCCGGAGACCGAUAGCGCACAAGUAGAGUGAUCGAAAGAUGAAAAGCACUUUGAAAAGAGAGUUAAAAAGCACGUGAAAUUGUUGAAAGGGAAGCGCUUGCGACCAGACUCGCCUGCGGGGUUCAGCCGGUAUUCGUACCGGUGUACUUCCCCGUGGGCGGGCCAGCGUCGGUUUGGGCGGCCGGUCAAAGGCCCUCGGAAUGUAACGCCUCUCGGGGCGUCUUAUAGCCGAGGGUGCCAUGCGGCCAGCCCGGACCGAGGAACGCGCUUCGGCACGGACGCUGGCAUAAUGGUCGUAAGCGACCCGUCUUGAAACACGG